This is a small nuclear RNA of Ornithorhynchus anatinus (platypus), 107 nucleotides long. The record is from RefSeq and is a predicted model, not a curated record. Lineage: Eukaryota; Metazoa; Chordata; Mammalia; Monotremata; Ornithorhynchidae.
GUGCUUGCUUCAGCAGCACAUAUGCUGAAAUUGAAAUGAUACAGAGAAAAUUAGCAUGGCCCCUGCUCAAGAAUGACAUACAAAUUCACGAAGGAUUCCACAUUUUC